AGAUUUAAAAAUAUACUAAAAAGUAUCAUUUUCUAU
RNAcentral lists this transfer RNA (36 nucleotides) under Orobdella octonaria. Its description in RNAcentral is "partial tRNA-Cys". The record is from RNAcentral. Lineage: Eukaryota; Metazoa; Annelida; Clitellata; Hirudinida; Orobdellidae.